This 864-nucleotide ribosomal RNA is filed under the name uncultured bacterium. Its description in RNAcentral is "bacterial SSU rRNA". It matches the Rfam family "Bacterial small subunit ribosomal RNA", at positions 27 to 897 of the family's 1533-position model. The record is from RNAcentral.
GGAUGAACGCUAGCGGCAGGCUUAACACAUGCAAGUCGAGGGGUAUGGUAGCAAUACCAGAGACCAGCAAACGGGUGCGGAACACGUACAGAAUCUACCUUUGUCUGGGGCAUAGCCCGGAGAAAUCCGGAUUAACUCCCCAUAAUAUACAUGAAAGGCAUCUUUUGAGUAUUAAAAAUUUAUUGGACAGAGAUGACUGUGCGUCCCAUUAGCUAGUUGGUAGGGUAACGGCCUACCAAGGCGACGAUGGGUAGCUGGUGUGAGAGCACGACCAGCCACACGGGCACUGAGACACGGGCCCGACUCCUACGGGAGGCAGCAGUGAGGAAUAUUGGUCAAUGGACGCAAGUCUGAACCAGCCAUGCCGCGUGAAGGAUGAAGGCCUUCUGGGUUGCAAACUUCUUUUACCUGGGAAGAAACCCCGAUUUUCUAAUCGGGUUGACGGUACCAGAGGAAUAAGCACCGGCUAACUCCGUGCCAGCAGCCGCGGUAAUACGGAGGGUGCAAGCGUUAUCCGGAUUUACUGGGUUUAAAGGGUGUGUAGGCGGGUUAUUAAGUCAGUGGUGAAAUCUCCGGGCUCAACCCGGAAACUGCCAUUGAUACUAUUAGUCUUGAAUUUUGUUGAGGUAGGCGAAAUAAGUCAUGUAGCGGUGAAAUGCAUAGAUAUGACUUAGAACACCAAUUGCGAAGGCAGCUUGCUAAACAAAUAUUGACGCUGAGGCACGAAAGCGUGGGGAUCAAACAGGAUUAGAUACCCUGGUAGUCCACGCCCUAAACGAUGAUUACUCGACAUACGCGAUACACAGUGUGUGUCUGAGCGAAAGCAUUAAGUAAUCCACCUGGGAAGUACGACCGCAAGGUUGA